GGGUCAGUAGGUUGGUCGUGCCACCGGUACGUACUGGUCUCACUGAUUCCUCCUUCCUGAAGAACCGUAAUGCCAUUAAUUUGGUGUUGCGAGGAAACAGGACUGUUACUUUGAAAAAAUUAGAGUGUUUAAGGCAAGCUAACGCUUGAAUACAUUAGCAUGGAAUAAUGAAAUAGGACGAUCGAUCCUAUUUUGUUGGUUUCUAGGAUUGACGUA
This 216-nucleotide ribosomal RNA is filed under the name Glomeromycotina sp. Its description in RNAcentral is "partial small subunit ribosomal RNA". The stretch from base 40 to 216 matches the Rfam family "Eukaryotic small subunit ribosomal RNA", at positions 686 to 864 of the family's 1831-position model. The record is from RNAcentral. Lineage: Eukaryota; Fungi; Glomeromycota.